UGACCGCUGGCGGCAUGCUUUACACAUGCAAGUCGAACGGCAGCGCGGGCUUCGGCCUGGCGGCGAGUGGCGAACGGGUGAGUAAUACAUCGGAACGUGCCCAGUAGUGGGGGAUAGCUCGGCGAAAGCCGGAUUAAUACCGCAUACGACCGGAGGGGGAAAGCGGGGGUCUUUCGACCUUGCCCCUAUUGAACCGGCCGAUGGCAGAUUAGCUAGUUGGUGGGGUAAAGGCCUACCAAGGCGACGAUCUGUAGCUGGUCUGAGAGGACGACCAGCCACACUGGGACUGAGACACGGCCCAGACUCCUACGGGAGGCAGCAGUGGGGAAUUUUGGACAAUGGGCGAAAGCCUGAUCCAGCAAUGCCGCGUGUGUGAUGAAGGCCUUCGGGUUGUAAAGCACUUUUGGCGGGAACGAAAAGGACUGUGCCAAUACCACGGUUCGAUGACGGUACCCGCAGAAUAAGCACCGGCUAACUACGUG
This 482-nucleotide ribosomal RNA is filed under the name uncultured bacterium. RNAcentral describes it as "partial 16S ribosomal RNA". It matches the Rfam family "Bacterial small subunit ribosomal RNA", at positions 30 to 507 of the family's 1533-position model. The record is from RNAcentral.